This 262-nucleotide ribosomal RNA is filed under the name uncultured Bacillota bacterium. RNAcentral's name for it is "uncultured Firmicutes bacterium partial 16S ribosomal RNA". It matches the Rfam family "Bacterial small subunit ribosomal RNA", at positions 82 to 339 of the family's 1533-position model. The record is from RNAcentral. Lineage: Bacteria; Bacillati; Bacillota.
ACUUCGGUGAAGAGUGGCGAACGGGUGAGUAAUACAUAAGUAACCUGGCAUCUACAGGGGGAUAACUGAUGGAAACGUCAGCUAAGACCGCAUAGGUGUAGAGAUCGCAUGAACUCUAUAUGAAAAGUGCUACGGGACUGGUAGAUGAUGGACUUAUGGCGCAUUAGCUUGUUGGUAGGGUAACGGCCUACCAAGGCGACGAUGCGUAGCCGACCUGAGAGGGUGACCGGCCACACUGGGACUGAGACACGGCCCAGACUCC